This 497-nucleotide ribosomal RNA is filed under the name uncultured bacterium. RNAcentral's name for it is "partial 16S ribosomal RNA". It matches the Rfam family "Bacterial small subunit ribosomal RNA", at positions 28 to 507 of the family's 1533-position model. The record is from RNAcentral.
GACGAACGCUGGCGGCGUGCCUAAUACAUGCAAGUAGAACGCUGAAGAGAGGAGCUUACUCUUCUUGGGUGAGUUGCGAACGGGUGAGUAACGCGUAGGUAACCUGCCUUGUAGCGGGGGAUAACUAUUGGAAACGAUAGCUAAUACCGCAUAACAAUGUAUUACACAUGUCGUUUAUGUGAAAGGGGCAGUUGCUCCACUACAAGAUGGACCUUCGUUGUAUUAGCUAGUAGGUGAGGUAAUGGCUCACCUAGGCGGCGAUACAUAGCCGCCCUGAGAGGGUGAUCGGCCAGACUGGGAGGGUGACCCGCCACAGAGGGACAGGGGAGGGAGCAGGAGGGAAACGGGGGCAAGGGGGGCGACACUGACCGAGAAACGCGGAAGGAGGGAAGAAGGUUUUCGGGUCGUAAAGCUCGGUUGUAAGUUAAGAAAGGGUGUGAGAGUGGAAAGUUCACACUGUGACGGUAGCUUAUCAGAAAGGGACGGCUAACUACGUG